Molecule: ribosomal RNA, 253 nt
Filed under: uncultured bacterium
Lineage: Bacteria
Description: partial 16S ribosomal RNA
Rfam family: Bacterial small subunit ribosomal RNA
Source: RNAcentral
CACGUAGGGCGCAAGCGUUGUCCGGAAUUAUUGGGCGUAAAGAGCUCGUAGGCGGCGGUGCUGGCCCGGCGUGAAAGCCCCCGGCUCAACCGGGGAGGGUCGUCGGGGACCGCACCGCUUGAGGGCGGUAGGGGCUGGUGGAAUGCCUGGUGUAGUGGUGAAAUGCGUAGAGAUCAGGCGGAACACCCGUGGCGAAGGCGGCCAGCUGGGCCGUCCCUGACGCUGAGGCGCGAAGGCGUGGGGAGCGAACGGG